Long non-coding RNA from Amphiprion ocellaris (clown anemonefish), 4561 nucleotides. RefSeq lists it as uncharacterized. The record is from RefSeq and is a predicted model, not a curated record. NCBI's taxonomy places the organism in Eukaryota, Metazoa, Chordata, Actinopteri, Pomacentridae. The transcript has 6 exons.
UGAACUCUGCAGAGGGAAAAGAGGAAACAUUAAGCAGCAGCAGUGUGGUAUUUUUAGUGUAUAUUAGUACAUUUUCAGUACACAUUAUCCAUUAUACACCUGUCACAGCAAGUUUUCUAACUAAGAGACCUGAUGAGAUAAAACAGGAUCGUUGUGUGUGAGUAAAACACCUCAAACAUCAGUAACUGAACAGUUAUGGAUAAAAGCAUUUGGUGCUGUGAGCAUCUCUUACCAUUGAUUUGAACCGGUGUGAAGAAUUUAGCCUGCAGAGUGACAACAAUGAGGCUUCACUUAACGGGUAAGAACACAAAAAUAUUCUACUUAUGUAAGAAAACAACCAAAAAGGCUUAUAGAAAAGUAAUUUCUUGAUCUCACCAUGUCUGACGUUGCUUCGUUUCUUUCCAGGAAGGAGUCCGUCCUGUGCUGCUGACUCACUUGUCCCUCCACCUCUGGCUAAAGUCCACCACCUGCCUUCCAGAAACGAUCGGCAGGAACCUUUUCUCAUCUGAGUUUUUACAGAUCGUUGCUGCAGCGUUUAGCCAUCCGUUGGCUGAAUUCUUUCAGGUUUCAAGAACCUCCAGGAGCAUCCUGACGACAGAAUCCAACACUCUGGUGCAGCUGGUAGCCACUCAGGAUGAGCCGGUGGUUGAUGGAGUCUCCCACCAGGUGGAUGCUGGCUCCCAUGACAAAAGUGAUGAUGCAGAGGAACUGGAGUCAGUAGCUGCAUUGUCUUUCUUCAUGUCAAAUAUCGUUGAUGGUGAUGUGAUGGAUGCACACUGGAUUACCAGCUGACUCCCGAUAGGCACCAUUCUGUCUUCCUCCAUUCCACACUAGAGGCAUCAGCAAGCUGCCGUGUUUUUCCUUUAGUCCAAAGAAACAUCUGUCAUAAAGGUAAUGAAUAGGGAUGUCUGAUAAUACUGGUCCACUGAUAUUAUCUACCAGAUAUUGGUAUAAAAAUAAUACCAGUCAAUAUCGUUAUCAGGUUUUUUUUCCUAUCAUGAAAAUCGAUGAAGUAAUGCCUGGAUUUAUGUAACAGACUCAUAGAGGGAGGGAGGGAGAGUGUCAUCUGUUGUUUGAGACAAUAAAACAAUUUUAAAAAGGCAUUUUUUCCAUAACUUUAGUUGAAGUACUUUUCUUAUUUUACAGACAAUGUUUACAUCUGAGAAUGCAUCCAAUGGGGCAUCACAAUAAAAUGAGGCCUGAUGUGUUAAUUCCACCACAGGAGAUAUGAGAUGGUACCUAAACUUAGUUAAACAGCCCACAGAUAUCCGUAUCGGUUGAUAACGGAAUCGGAAAUUGAGAGUUGGACAGUAUCGGCAAAAAAGCCAAUAUCAGACAUUCCUAGUCUUUGUCUAUUGGACUCUAGAGGCAUCAGCAAGCUGCUGCGUUUUUCCCUUGUUCCAAAGAAACACCUGUCGUAAAGGAAUAAUACAAAGCAAGUAGCUCGUUUCAUUUUAUUUUUAAGAUUAUUUUUCAGGUGUUUUUGCUUUUGUUGGACCAGCUUUACUUCAGGUAUUUUACGAUGUUUUCUACCCAUUUCUGUGCUUUGCAGUUCUUGUCAGUGCAGACACUCAGGAAUCAGACCCCGACGCGUCGGUAUGUCACUACUUUAUUACUUUGUCUGGUUUGAAAUGAAGCAUUUUGGAUUCUUGAAACUAAGACAAAAUGAAAAUGUUCCAGCCAUGUUAAGGUCAUACAUUCAAAGACAGAUGUUGCAGUUCUAAGCACCAACAGGACAGAGAGAGGACCGCUGAUCAUCAAGUAGAGCUACCACUCACGGAAUAAUCAGCCAUCAAGUAUGAAAUUAAUCUGCAGCUGUUUUGAUAAUUGAUUAAUCUGUUUAGAAGAAAAAAGACCACAUUCUCUGAUGUGACAGUAAACUGAAUAUUUCUGGGUUGUUGAGGGCAUCAAACAAUCGAUUAUUUAAGAGAAUAAUACAUAGAUAAAACAACUAUUUAAAUAAUACUUAAGAUGACUUAACUGCAUGUAACAAAAAAGAAGAAGGAAUAAAACAUGCAGCAAUCAAACACCUGUGACUCAGGUUAAUUAGAUAUGAAGAGUACAAAACAAAAUGAUGAUCAAGGCCUGAAAAUGUCAGAAAACAUCAAAAUCAUGGUCAGAAGUGGCAAAAUGUGAAGUAGAAUCUGAAUGACUGAGAUGUGUUCUCUUAUUAUUCAUCAUAACUAACAUAAGGAAUGAAAUGUAAGCAAUAAAAGCUUAAACUGAAGCAAGCAGAGGUUUCUGUUGGUAAAGCAACACAACACCAGCACAGACUGGUCUGAUGGAGAAAAAGAAAGAUUACUAAACACUCAGUGAGGCACUCCAUAGUUAUCAGAGUACAUUUCUGUCCAAAAGCUUCACUAGGAAACACAGAGAGUCAGUUUGAUGUGUUGAGACUCACCUUGAGCAUCAGGAAUGGAGUUAUGACGUUGUAGGCCAUGUGGAAAUAGUCUCCAGCGCUGGGCUUGUUCAGGGGAAACCACUCGAGAGGAAGGAUGAUCUAAAACACAAACAUGCGUCUGUAAUCCUUCUUUUAUUUCAUUCUGAGCUACACAACAAGCGCAGCGAGCCUCGUUACCAUGGCGAUCGGCCUGCCAAAGUCCAGUAUCCAGUUCUGCAGAGUCAGGAAGAGCCACAGGUCGGAGUGGAAGUGCUGCUGUUCCUUCUGUGGCACAUUUUCCUUCAGAACAGCAGGAGUGCUGUAAACCCACAUUAGCAGAGGCUAUGAAGCUGCACCAGCGGUGGAACUAUUUGUGAACUGUUCAGGUUUUUGAAUCUUGUGUGCAGCUGUGAUUUCCUCCAUCAUCCUGAACACGUCCCUACAGUUCAGCUUGUGCUCCGGGACAACAAAAGGACGAGAGCAGCUGAACAUGGCGCCGACGCUUCAUUCCCGCCUGUUCGGCUGCUUGUCAGCUCCAUUAGAAUGGAUACAGAGCUGUCAGCAUCCAUGUCGGCCUCAAACCUUUUCUCUCGUCACUUGGACGUCUAGACAGCAAUUAGAGGAGGAAAGAUGAAGUUUCUUCUCCAAGCGAUCAUUAUAUUGUGUGUGGAUUGACAAACAUCUCAUAUUUACUUGCCAAGUUCUACUUUGGGGUCUUAUCUGUCUAAACUCUUCUUAGUGUGGCUGUUUUGUGACUUUUAGGUGAACUUGUGUAUUUUACUCUUGUGGAUUCGGUGCCACUCCAUGAUUACUCCUCACAACUGGGAGGAUGUUUAGAACUGGAAAACUAGUUUCCAUACUUUCAUAAAUGAAGUUACCUGAACUUUGUAGCACCUUGUUUGGCCUUAAACUCUUGUGUACGCUCAUAUUUUUCUGAUUUGUGCCCAGCAUCACUAAGUUUGCUGUCCAGGACUGUGUUUCGUGUUUGGAAUUAGACUUCAUCCAGCCUCUCUGUAUCUGGACGGCUUGUGGGGAGGGCAUUGAUCACACCUGGCUGAACACUGAGCUCCAGAUCCUACCUGGAAGUCAUGAGGAGUGAUCAACCUGGAGCUCCAGACCUCCUCCCAGCCCUGGACCUCCUCACCUCCUGACCCACCGGAUUGGUCCACCUCCACAGCUCCUCCUCCAGAAGACCCCAGCAAUCACCACACCAGUAUAUCUACAACCAGAACGGUUGGCAGCUGGGAUUUGUGACCAGUUUCCUGUGGUGCCUCUGUAUGUUUUGUUUGUAUUCUGGUCUGGUCUGUAGGUUCUAUAGCCACUGAGGGGAGACUACGGACAUUUAGAGCUUCGGUUGGUGGCUGAUAAUUCGGUGUGGAUCUUCCGGUCUUAGUGGAGACUGUGGCUCCUGUUAGCAGUCCGCUAACUUCAAGAAGAAGCUAUCUUGUAAUUUGAGUCUUUGUGUAUUGUGUGUUAAAUGUGUGUGUUUAGGGGCACCAGUUUGGUUCAGUUAGUUCUGUGCUCUGUUUUAUUAGUUUCUGUUGCUUGUGGUGGGUGUUGCUGCUGGGUUUAAGUUUGUCUAUAGAGUUUAGUUGUGUUUAGCGAGGUUAGACACUGUUGGCAUUUGUUUGGUUUUAUUUUCUUCUUUGAUUUGGCAGCACUCACCAGUCUUGUUUUCUCUGUUUGACCACUUUUAUGUUGAAUUUGCUACUGAGCAGUAAAUUCCUUUACCUGAACCAAAAACAUUAACAGCCUGGAAGCAUUACAAUAAAGGUAAAGAAGGGUUAGACAGGGGUCCCUCAUGCAGCGGACAUGGGUUCAAGUCUGACCCGUGGCCAUUUGUUUGUCCUUUCCCCACUCUUCUCCCUGCUUCUUCAUCUGUUGCAUGGAAGGAGCAACCAACCCCAACACUACAAGAAGUUGUUUGUAUGUAGCAUAACAUAAACUCGUAGGUGUCUGGAGAUUUGUUGUCAGGAUUGUGUGGGACUAAAUAAAGGAUGUUCUAUUCUGUGUAGCAUAAUAUAAAAUAUAAACUCAUAGUUCACUGAUUCAUUGUUAGGAUUGUGUGGGGCUGUUUGUGCUUGAUUGCAUGAUAAUGACUAACCAACAUGCUUUAUUUUAAGUGCUCUGGCCAUGAAGAAAGUUAAAAAUGAGCAAAAUAAAUUUUAACAAACAAAACCA